This 253-nucleotide ribosomal RNA is filed under the name uncultured bacterium. Its description in RNAcentral is "partial 16S ribosomal RNA". It matches the Rfam family "Bacterial small subunit ribosomal RNA", at positions 524 to 776 of the family's 1533-position model. The record is from RNAcentral.
UACGGAGGGGGCUAGCGUUGUUCGGAAUUACUGGGCGUAAAGCGCGCGUAGGCGGACCUGCAAGUCGGGGGUGAAAGCCCGAGGCUCAACCUCGGAACUGCCUUCGAUACUGCGGGUCUCGAGUCCGGGAGAGGUGAGUGGAAUUCCUAGUGUAGAGGUGAAAUUCGUAGAUAUUAGGAAGAACACCAGUGGCGAAGGCGGCUCACUGGCCCGGUACUGACGCUGAGGCGCGAAGGCUAGGGGAGCAAACAGG